This is a long non-coding RNA of Anneissia japonica, 237 nucleotides long. RefSeq lists it as uncharacterized. The record is from RefSeq and is a predicted model, not a curated record. The transcript is spliced from 3 exons. NCBI's taxonomy places the organism in Eukaryota, Metazoa, Echinodermata, Crinoidea, Comatulida, Comatulidae.
CUUACGACUCUGGAUAUUGUGACCUGGGUACCAAGGAACCAUCCAGCCAAGAAUGGGCACCAGAACAGGAGGACAUUGAAGAGCUAAGUGCCUUAGUACCUUGUGGACCAAGAGGUUUGAGGGUGCAGGCACCUAGUAUAUCAGGUGAUGGAACUUCUAUUCAAUUGUUGCUUAGCAGUGGAAGAACUUACGACUCUAGAUAUUGUGACCUGGGUACCAAUGACCAAACUAGCCAAG